GAAAAGCAUUGUCAGGGAAGAAGAGAUGCUUAACCUUCCCUAAUUAUAUUCAUGUGGGUAAAUAUUAUUACUAUAACUAUUUCAGAAGUUAUAUAAAAUUCCUAGAAGUUUGGCAAUGCCCUCACAGUACAUGACGUGUCCUGGUAAUGUCAUCCCUGCUAUUAGACAACCACAGUAUAAUAUUAUCGGUGGCAACUUCGGUUAUUAUGUUAAAUGUUGUAUGCCAGAAACAACCAAAUUCUCUUCUCAAAUUGCAUUAUUUUUAUAAUGAACUCUCAUCAGAUUUUUAACCAUGGUCAUUUUAAGUCUUUUGUCAUCCACAGACAAUUGUUUUAUGUCAAUGCUUUUCUAAAAGCUCUUGCCAUCAACUACAGGCCAGAAUGCUUCAUCUUUAACAAAAGGGGACCAUUUCAGAUACCCAUGAAGAGGACCAUGCCAGGUUCAGAGGGUACAUGUGCGGAUUUGUUACUUGGAUAAUUUGCACGUCGCUGAGGUUUGGUGUACAAAUGAUCCUAUCACCCCGAGUAGUGAGCAUAGGACACGACAGAUCCUUACCUCACAAGGCCUGACCAGUGUCUUCAAUAAACCCACUUCCUUGUUUGUGAAACAUCUGGGGAAGUAUUAAAUGGGGGAAAGGAAGGAAUUAACAGCCCACCAAAAUGGUGUGAAAAUUACUUUAAACUCAAAACAUCUUCACAAUCAGCAGCCACAGAAAGAAACAUUAUCUAAACUUAGGCAGAGCCUCCUGAAUUACAGCUUCUAUGACCCCCUCUGAGGGAGUUUCCCGAUUGUGAGAAGACUCAUCCUAGGAUCAGCGAGUGAGGAUUUAGCUGUCCCUUAUCAUCACAAGGCCCAAUAGAAACUUCCCUACUUUCCCAUGGAGUCCAAACCCCACUCCCCCUCUCUGUUAAGUUGGUAUAUAAACCUUUAACUCUGCAGCCAUAAAAAAGAAUGAGAUCAUGUCCUUUGCAGGGAAGUGGGUGGAGCCUGUAAACCAUUAUCCUAAGCAAACUAACACAGGAACAAAUACUGCAUGUUCUCACUUAUAAGUGGGAGCUAAAGGAUGGGAACACAUGGACACACAGAGGGGAACAACACACACUGGGCCCUAUUGGAGGGUGGAGGUUGUGAGGAGGGAGAGGAUCAGAAAAAAUAACUAAUAGGUACUGGGCUUAAUGGCUGGGUGAUGAAAUAAUCUGUUCAACAAACCCUCAUGACACACGUUUACCUAUGUAUCAAACCUGCACUUGUACCCCUGAACUUAAAAUAAAAGCAAAAAACAAAAAACCAAAAACCUUUACCUCUGAGUAUUCAGGGAGUUGCCCAUUAUUGAAUAUUUCACAUGUACAUGUAAAUAAACCUUGUCCUUUCUUUUGUUAAUCUGUCCAUUGUUACUUAAUUCUCAGGCCUCUGACCAUUGAACCAAAGUGAGUAGAGAAAAAAAUUUUCCUCUUAGACUGUCUGGGC
This 1467-nucleotide long non-coding RNA is filed under the name Homo sapiens (human). RNAcentral describes it as "HSALNT0247118". The record is from RNAcentral. Lineage: Eukaryota; Metazoa; Chordata; Mammalia; Primates; Hominidae.